This 196-nucleotide small nuclear RNA is filed under the name Trichophyton rubrum BMU01672. RNAcentral's name for it is "snRNA U1". The stretch from base 1 to 151 matches the Rfam family "U1 spliceosomal RNA". From Rfam's summary of the family: U1 is a small nuclear RNA (snRNA) component of the spliceosome (involved in pre-mRNA splicing). Its 5' end forms complementary base pairs with the 5' splice junction, thus defining the 5' donor site of an intron. There are significant differences in sequence and secondary structure between metazoan and yeast U1 snRNAs, the latter being much longer (568 nucleotides as compared to 164 nucleotides in human). The record is from RNAcentral. Lineage: Eukaryota; Fungi; Ascomycota; Eurotiomycetes; Onygenales; Arthrodermataceae.
AUACUUACCUUGUUUGGGCUGGCGCGAUCAAAAAGGCGCUUCGCCGUGGAAAGGCUCCUACAUUGCACAGCGUGGAGAGCCUUGCCACUCAACAUCCUUCGGGGUUUUGACAGGCAUAUUCUUUGGCACCUCUCCUGGACUCAGGUCCUACCUUUCUUUUCAUUGUCUCUGCGCUUUAUGUGCUGUUGCAAAGAAG